RNAcentral lists this long non-coding RNA (936 nucleotides) under Sorghum bicolor (sorghum). RNAcentral's name for it is "long non-coding RNA (SBIC_LNC015466)". The record is from RNAcentral. Lineage: Eukaryota; Viridiplantae; Streptophyta; Magnoliopsida; Poales; Poaceae.
ACCCAAGUUCAAGAUUAAGAGGGGAAAAAAAAUUAUCGGGUCAAAAUAUAGGCUCGAGUCUGACUCGAUACACUAGUGGGUUGGGUUAAUUUUUAUAUUUUCUUCUUUUUGUGUUGGUUUUUUUUUCAAGUUAGGUUGGAUGACCAUGGGUCAAAAUUAUUACCCAAUGCACCGGUGGGUCAGUUCAAAUCAGGGUUUUUUAGUUGAGCUAGGUAGUGUUAGUUGGGUGAGGUAGUCCAUGAUAAGAUCUAUUUACAACUAUGCAAAAAGUAGAGCAAUGAAAAGGUGCACCGAUGCGAGACUUGAUAGUAGCCUAAGUAGAUGAUGGCAGUGGGAGACAUGAGUUAGUGCCUAUUUGAGAUAGCUUAGUUUAGCCAUGCUUUGAUUUGAAGCUGGUUUACUAGGUAACCUAGAUUUUAUAUGAAGCAUGAAGAAUCAUACGGUUUUGCAAUCCCCUGUUAAGUGAGGAGGUGUGCAUGGGCCAGGGUUCGAGGAGGCACAGGAGAGGGAUGGUUGUCGAUGCUCGAGCGGGCACCAGCGUGUUAGGGAAGGAGAGCGAGGAGGAGCUUGAUAGCACGAAGGAGCGCAACAACGUGAAGGACCUUAGCGGUGCGAGCUUGGGGAGGUGCAAAGGUACGAUGCUAGAGGAGGAGGGGACGAGGAGCUUGGUGCAUGGAGGAGGAGGCCACUGGCACAAUGGAUGUGGGAAAGAGCGGUUACUUGGAGGAGGGGAGAAGAAGCAAAGGAGUGACGAGGAAAGCUAGAAUCAUGCUAUGAUGAGGAAAAAACUCCUUUCAUGCAGGCCCCGCCCUAGACGCAGGCGGCCGCCCUGGCCCCCCAGUUAGGCAGGGCCCACCCCAAGUAUGCAACACACAGUAGUAUUAGUAUUUGGCGGUGGUUCAGGUUUCAGAGAUUGAGUUAUACAUAUAGAAGCUG